This 449-nucleotide long non-coding RNA is filed under the name Cavia porcellus (domestic guinea pig). Its description in RNAcentral is "lncRNA (ENSCPOG00000038976.1)". The record is from RNAcentral. Lineage: Eukaryota; Metazoa; Chordata; Mammalia; Rodentia; Caviidae.
GUCCAGUCCAGGGCUGCAGCUCUUGGUCACCAUGGGACUGAGUUGCUCCUCCCUGAGCCCUGACCUCCCUUCCCAGCUGGGGCUUCGACUGGAGCACGCAGAGGAAAUUGUGGACAGGCUAUUCUUUGGUCCAAAGUCACACUGGGGACAGGAAGAGAAGAGAAAGGCCCAGCCAGACAAGCCUCGAAGCCCAGAGCCAGGGCCAGCCAUCCCUGAGUGUCCAGGAGAAAGAUCCAGAAAGAUGAGAGACCUGCAACAAAAGCCCUGGAAGACCCAAGCAUCACUGGCCACCCUGAGCACCAGCACCGGGGGCUCACUGCGCGGCCUACAGCUGGAGGGUGGACUGGAGGAGCAGCGACACAGCAGGACACUGUUUCAGAAGCGAGGCUCCCUGUUCCUCAGGUGUGUGUGCCCUUCAUCCAGCUGACCCCCUUGGUGUGAUAACAGGC